RNAcentral lists this ribosomal RNA (322 nucleotides) under uncultured eukaryote. RNAcentral's name for it is "partial 18S ribosomal RNA". It matches the Rfam family "Eukaryotic small subunit ribosomal RNA", at positions 1470 to 1796 of the family's 1831-position model. The record is from RNAcentral.
CCCUUAGAUGUUCUGGGCCGCACGCGUGCUACACUGAGUGGAUCAGCGGGUCAGGUUGCGCGAAAGCGUUUCCUAAUCUUUAAAUCCGCUCGUGAUGGGGAUUGACCGUUGCAAUUUUCUGUCAUGAACGAGGAAUACCUUGUAAGCGCGGGUCAUCAUCCCGCGCUGAAUACGUCCCUGCCCUUUGUACACACCGCCCGUCGCUCCUACCGAUUGAGUGGUCCGGUGAGGCUUUGGGAUCUGAGCGGAAAGAGCGUUUCGCUGUUUCUGCUCGGAAAACUCAGUCGAACCUUAUCAUUUAGAGGAAGGAGAAGUCGUAACA